CCUACGGGGGGCUGCAGUGGGGAAUAUUGGACAAUGGGGGCAACCCUGAUCCAGCCAUGCCGCGUGUGUGAAGAAGGCCCUCGGGUUGUAAGGCACUUUCAGUGAGGAAGAACGCCUGGUGGUUAAUACCCAUCAGGAAAGACAUCACUCACAGAAGAAGCACCGGCUAACUCCGUGCCAGCAGCCGCGGUAAUACGGAGGGUGCGAGCGUUAAUCGGAAUUACUGGGCGUAAAGCGCGCGUAGGUGGCUUGAUAAGCCGGUUGUGAAAGCCCCGGGCUCAACCUGGGAACGGCAUCCGGAACUGUCAAGCUAGAGUGCAGGAGAGGAAGGUAGAAUUCCCGGUGUAGCGGUGAAAUGCGUAGAGAUCGGGAGGAAUACCAGUGGCGAAGGCGGCCUUCUGGACUGACACUGACACUGAGGUGCGAAAGCGUGGGUAGCAAACAGGAUUAGAUACCCUAGUAGUC
RNAcentral lists this ribosomal RNA (465 nucleotides) under Vreelandella stevensii. RNAcentral describes it as "partial 16S ribosomal RNA". It matches the Rfam family "Bacterial small subunit ribosomal RNA", at positions 338 to 795 of the family's 1533-position model. The record is from RNAcentral. Lineage: Bacteria; Pseudomonadati; Pseudomonadota; Gammaproteobacteria; Oceanospirillales; Halomonadaceae.